This is a small nuclear RNA of Oryctolagus cuniculus (rabbit), 83 nucleotides long. Its record names the gene U2. It matches the Rfam family "U2 spliceosomal RNA". From Rfam's summary of the family: U2 is a small nuclear RNA (snRNA) component of the spliceosome (involved in pre-mRNA splicing). NCBI's taxonomy places the organism in Eukaryota, Metazoa, Chordata, Mammalia, Lagomorpha, Leporidae. The record is from Ensembl.
GUCGUUUCUCGGCCUUUUGGCUAAGAUCAAGUGUAGUAUCAGUGAAGCUAAAGUCAGAAGAGAAUUUUUGUUAACGACAACAU